This 162-nucleotide unclassified non-coding RNA is filed under the name soil metagenome. RNAcentral describes it as "partial internal transcribed spacer 1". The record is from RNAcentral.
AAGAGACGUUGCCCUUCGGGGUAUACCUCCCACCCUUUGUUUAUUAUACCUUUGUUGCUUUGGCGGGCCCGUCCUCGGACCACCGGCUUCUGCUGGUCAGUGCCCGCCAGAGGACCUAAAACUCUGUUUGUUCAAUAUUGUCUGAGUACUAUAUAAUAGUUA